GAAGGGACCUAGCGUAGUUCGGAAUUACUGGGCUUAAAGAGUUCGUAGGUGGUUGAAAAAGUUGGGGGGGAAAUCCCAGAGCUUAACUCUGGAACUGCCAUCAAAACUUUUCAGCUAGAGUAUGAUAGAGGAAAGCAGAAUUUCUAGUGUAGAGGUGAAAUUCGUAGAUAUUAGAAAGAAUACCAAUUGCGAAGGCAGCUUUCUGGAUCAUUACUGACACUGAGGAACGAAAGCAUGGGUAGCGAAGAGGAUUAGAUACCCUCGUAGUCCAUGCCGUAAACGAUGUGUGUUAGACGUUGGAAAUUUAUUUUCAGGGUCGCAGCGAAAGCGAUAAACACACCGCCUGGGGAGUACGACCGCAAGGUUAAAACUCAAAUGAAUUGACGGGGACCCGCACAAGUAGUGGAGCAUGUGGUUUAAUUCGAAGAUACGCGCAAAACCUUACCAACACUUGACAUGUUCGUCGCGACUUUAAGAGAUUAAAGUUUUCGGUUCGGCCGGACGAAACACAGGUGCUGCAUGGCUGUCGUCAGCUCGUGUCGUGAGAUGUUGGGUUAAGUCCCGCAACGAGCGCAACCCUCACUUUUAGUUGCCAUCAUUUAGUUGGGCACUCUGAAAGAACUGCCAGUGAUAAGCUGGAGGAAGGUGGGGAUGACGUCAAGUCCUCAUGGCCCUUACGUGUUGGGCUACACACGUGCUACAAUGGUAUCUACAACAGGAAGCAAGACUGCGAAGUUAAGCAAAUCCUUAAAAGAUACCUCAGUUCGGAUUGCACUCUGCAACUCGAGUGCAUGAAGCUGGAAUUACUAGUAAUCGUGGAUCAGCGUGCCACGGUGAAUGCGUUCCCGGGUCUU
Molecule: ribosomal RNA, 854 nt
Filed under: uncultured Alphaproteobacteria bacterium
Lineage: Bacteria; Pseudomonadati; Pseudomonadota; Alphaproteobacteria
Description: bacterial SSU rRNA
Rfam family: Bacterial small subunit ribosomal RNA
Source: RNAcentral